Molecule: long non-coding RNA, 1614 nt
Organism: Pongo pygmaeus (Bornean orangutan)
Lineage: Eukaryota; Metazoa; Chordata; Mammalia; Primates; Hominidae
Exons: 4
Source: RefSeq, a predicted model, not a curated record
UCUAUGUUCCGAAACCAUUGUCCAGAGUAUUUCUUCUGGACUAUUUUCCACUUCCCUCCAUCUGCCCGGCCAGCUGUUCUGCAUUUGUAAAAGCUGGUUUCUGAUGUCAUCUCUAGGCAGGACCGCUCCCUUCCUCUCCUGCACUCCUAUACUUCGUGGCAUAUCUGCCCCAAGAUAACACUUGUCACUGUUUUCCAAAUUCAGUUUUAUUCAUUUGCUUCACAUGUGCACUGAGCCCACUGACUUCUUUCCCUGUCUGUUGCCAGCACUGGAGACCAAGCCUGCACCCUUUGGCCCAGAUCAUCUCAUUUACCUUUUAACACAGAAUCAGGGCCAUUCUCAAGCACAACCUGGGUGAGGCUCUGUCGUUGCUUAAUGGAUCAGCUGUAUAGUAACAGCAGAAGAUAAAACAUGGGUCCCUGGUCACUGGACAACCAAGUGAAAGCAGAGUUCAGAGGAAAAUCUUCAGGUGUGAACCACUGUGCCCAGCCCCAGAAGAAUGAAGUUACUCUUGUCUUGCACCAUAUACAAAAGUCAACUCAAAAUGCAUUAAAAACUUAAAUGUAAGACUCCAAACUAUGAAACUACUAGAAGAAACGUGGGGGAAAAUCUCCAUGACAUUGAUCUUGGCAAUGAUUCUUUCGAUAUAACCUCAAAAGCAAAGGCAACAAAAGCAAAAACAUCACACGAAAAAGCUUCUGCACAGCAAAGGAAACAAUUAACAGAGUGAAGAGACAUGCUAUAGAAUGGCAGAAAAUAUUUUCAAAGUAUACAUUUAGCAAACGUUAAUAUCAAUAUAGAAGAAACUAAAACAACUCAACAGCAAGAAAAUAUAUUACCCCAUUAAAGAAUGGACAAGACUUGAAUAAACAUUUUCCAGAGAGACAAGCUAUAGAAUGGGAGAAAAUGUUUUCAAACUAUAUCAACCAACAGUAAAUAUCAAUAUAUAAAGAACUAAAACAACUCAAUAGCAAGAAAAUACAUUACCCCAUUAAAAAUGGACAAAAGACUUGAAUAAACAUUUCCCAAAACAAGAUAUGCAAAUGGCCAACAAGUAUAGUCAUGCACUGCAGAACAGUGUUUCAGUCAGUGACAGUACUGCAUAUAUGAUGGUGGUCCCAUAAGGUUAUUGUAGAGCUGAAAAAUUCCUAUCACCUAGUGAGUGCAGUAGCUGUGGUAACAUCAUAGUGCAAUGCAUUACCCAUGUGUUUGUGAUGAUACUGGUGUAAACAAACCUACUGCACUGCUAAUCAUAUAAACAUAGCAAAUGCAAUUAUACACAGUACAUAAUACUUGAUAUAAAUGAGUUUUUCACUGGUUUAUGUAUUUAUUGUACUAUACUUUUUUAUCAUUAUUUUAGCAGGUACUUCCUCUACUUAUUAAAAAAAAAGUUCACGGUAAUGUAGCCCCAGGCAGGUCCUUCAGGGGGUAUUCCAGAAGAAAGCAUUGCUAUUAUAGGAGAUGACAGCUCCAUGCAUGUUAUUGCCCUGAAGACCUUCCAGUGAGGCAAGAUGUGGAGGUGAAAGACAGUGAUACUGAUGAUCUCAGCACUGUACAGGCCUAGGCUAAUGUAUGUGCUUGUGUCUUAGGUUUAACAAAAAAGUUUAUAAAGUU